Molecule: ribosomal RNA, 365 nt
Filed under: uncultured bacterium
Lineage: Bacteria
Description: partial 16S ribosomal RNA
Rfam family: Bacterial small subunit ribosomal RNA
Source: RNAcentral
CCUACGGGAGGCAGCAGUGAGGAAUAUUGGUCAAUGGACGAGAGUCUGAACCAGCCAAGUAGCGUGAAGGAUGACUGCCCUAUGGGUUGUAAACUUCUGUUAUAGGGGAAUAAAAUGUGCCACGUGUGGGAGUUUGUAUGUACCAUAUGAAGAAGGAUCGGCUAACUCCGUGCCAGCAGCCGCGGUAAUACGGAGGAGCCGAGCGUUAUCCGGAUUUAUUGGGUUGAAAGGGAGCGUAGGUGGAUUGUGAAGUCAGUUGGGAAAGUUUGCGGCUCAACCGUAAAAUUGCAGUUGAAACGGGCAGUCUUGAGUACAGUAGCGGUGGGCGGAUUUCGUGGUGUAGCGGUGACAUGCUUAGAUCUCAC